CCGAGCGCCAGCGAGAGAGCGUUGCCGCAGGCAACGACCCGUAGGGCGAAGCGCGCAGCGCUGAGUAAUCCUUCCCCCACCACCA
Molecule: small RNA, 85 nt
Filed under: Escherichia coli
Lineage: Bacteria; Pseudomonadati; Pseudomonadota; Gammaproteobacteria; Enterobacterales; Enterobacteriaceae
Description: partial RtT sRNA
Rfam family: RtT RNA
About the family: This family represents a bacterial cis-regulatory element known as RtT RNA. The exact function of RtT is unknown although it is thought that it may be involved in changing the cellular response in relation to amino acid starvation.
Source: RNAcentral